GUGCCAAUAACUCGGAGUUCCGUCCCCCUCAAACAGGGGUGUGUCGUGACGUCAAAGGUAACGAAGAGAUGUGUGCAAUGAGGCGUGCGUAUCGGAGGGGUGUGUCUACUCUGCAGUACACUGGUAGGCUGGAGACGCAACGUCGCUGCAUGGCGAUGUUGCCAUACAUUUACAAUACACCAGCGGUGGCCGAGUGUGCUAAAAAAAAACCCAACCCAAAAAACCCCUAGACGAUUACACACCUCCACUACACGCUUUCACAAGCAAAAUACGUGAUGAGAGUGGAAGUAAAUGCGGCCAUUGCCAGGAAAGAAGAGCCCCGGUGACAGGGGGAGAUGAAAGGCAUGAUGCUGGGAUUCAGGAAGCAGCAAGGACAAGGAGGAAACAACAUGAUCAAUAUGUGUGACGUGGAGUCAGCACU
Molecule: long non-coding RNA, 421 nt
Organism: Pundamilia nyererei
Lineage: Eukaryota; Metazoa; Chordata; Actinopteri; Cichliformes; Cichlidae
Exons: 3
Source: RefSeq, a predicted model, not a curated record